RNAcentral lists this ribosomal RNA (253 nucleotides) under uncultured bacterium. RNAcentral's name for it is "partial 16S ribosomal RNA". It matches the Rfam family "Bacterial small subunit ribosomal RNA", at positions 524 to 776 of the family's 1533-position model. The record is from RNAcentral.
UACAGAGGGGGCAAGCGUUGUUCGGAAUUACUGGGCGUAAAGGGCGCGUAGGCGGCCCGCUAAGUCGAACGUGAAAUCCCCGAGCUCAACUCGGGAACUGCGUCCGAUACUGGUGGGCUUGAAUCCGGGAGAGGGAUGCGGAAUUCCAGGUGUAGCGGUGAAAUGCGUAGAUAUCUGGAGGAACACCGGUGGCGAAGGCGGAUCUCUGGGCCAUUACUGACGCUGAGGAGCGAAAGCGUGGGGAGCAAACAGG